CUGUCCUGGUUUCAGCUGGGAUAGAGUUAAUUGUCUUCCUAGUAGCUGGUACAGUGCUAUGUUUUGAGUUCAGUAUGAGAAGAAUGUUGAUAACACACUGAUGUUUUCAGUUGUUGCUAAGUAACGUUUAGUCUCAAGUCAAGGAUUUUUCAGCUUCUCAUGCCCAGCCAGCAAGAAGGCUGGAGGGGCACAAGAAGUUGUGACGGGACACAGACAGG
Molecule: long non-coding RNA, 218 nt
Organism: Aquila chrysaetos chrysaetos
Lineage: Eukaryota; Metazoa; Chordata; Aves; Accipitriformes; Accipitridae
Exons: 3
Source: RefSeq, a predicted model, not a curated record